This 252-nucleotide ribosomal RNA is filed under the name uncultured prokaryote. RNAcentral describes it as "partial 16S ribosomal RNA". It matches the Rfam family "Bacterial small subunit ribosomal RNA", at positions 524 to 776 of the family's 1533-position model. The record is from RNAcentral.
UACGGAGGGUGCGAGCGUUAUUCGGAAUUACUGGGCGUAAAGCGCGUGUAGGCGGGGAGACAAGUCUGAUGUGAAAGCCCUGGGCUUAACCUGGGAAGCGCAUUGGAAACUGUUUUUCUUGAGUACUGGAGGGAAGGGGGAAUUCCCGGUGUAGAGGUGAAAUUCGUAGAGAUCGGGAGGAAUACCAGUGGCGUAGGCGCCCUUCUGGACGGUAACUGACGCUGAGACGCGAAAGCGUGGGGAGCAAACAGG